GGGAAUCUACCCAUUUCUGCGGAAUAGCUCUGGGAAACUGGAAUUAAUACCGCAUACGCCCUACGGGGGAAAGAUUUAUCGGGGAUGGAUGAGCCCGCGUUGGAUUAGCUAGUUGGUGGGGUAAAGGCCUACCAAGGCGACGAUCCAUAGCUGGUCUGAGAGGAUGAUCAGCCACAUUGGGACUGAGACACGGCCCGAACUCCUACGGGAGGCAGCAGUGGGGAAUAUUGGACAAUGGGCGCAAGCCUGAUCCAGCCAUGCCGCGUGAGUGAUGAAGGCCUUAGGGUUGUAAAGCUCUUUCACCGGUGAAGAUAAUGACGGUAACCGGAGAAGAAGCCCCGGCUAACUUCGUGCCAGCAGCCGCGGUAAUACGAAGGGGGCUAGCGUUGUUCGGAAUUACUGGGCGUAAAGCGCACGUAGGCGGAUAUUUAAGUCAGGGGUGAAAUCCCAGAGCUCAACUCUGGAACUGCCUUUGAUACUGGGUAUCUUGAGUAUGGAAGAGGUAAGUGGAAUUGCGAGU
RNAcentral lists this ribosomal RNA (520 nucleotides) under uncultured bacterium. RNAcentral's name for it is "bacterial SSU rRNA". It matches the Rfam family "Bacterial small subunit ribosomal RNA", at positions 120 to 674 of the family's 1533-position model. The record is from RNAcentral.